CACCCCACAACAUCUCAUGCUAAUAGAAUGGUUGCAUCUUUUCGAUGCAACUGAACCACUGUAUCCAAUCGAGAAUAAUCAAUACUAGGAAGGGUCUGCAUAUUUACAAUGGUGGAAGAUCGCUCAAUUUAAUAUCUAUAAGAAGAUUUAAUUUAGAUCUUCUUUAGGUUUUAAUUAUUUAUUUACAUCACAUGUAAAUUCAUAAUUACAUUGGAUCUACUUGAGAGAUCCUAUCUUGGUUCACC
RNAcentral lists this long non-coding RNA (245 nucleotides) under Elaeis guineensis (African oil palm). RNAcentral's name for it is "long non-coding RNA (EGUI_LNC074405)". The record is from RNAcentral. Lineage: Eukaryota; Viridiplantae; Streptophyta; Magnoliopsida; Arecales; Arecaceae.